UUUUUAAUUUUUAAAAAAAUCUUAAAAAGACGUUUAACCCUCAAUUUGCUCAAUAGCGGGAGCCAAAAGCAUUAAAAAGCGGGAUUAAGUUUCAGAUUGCGCGCUUCCCAAAAUCAAGCGGGAUUAAGUUUCAGAUUGCGCACCUCCCAAAAUCUCUAUCUCCUCCCCCUAUCCAAAACAAAAAAACACAAAAAAAUAACACUCUCAACCGACUGCUACAGAAAAGAUGAGAGAAUACCCCAACUUCAUCUGUUCAAUGGCUAAACUCCCUACUUCGCAAAUCUUUGCCAGAUUUGUCGCAAAAAUCACUUCAAAGUAAGCAAUUAGUUGUGCUAAUCAACCGGAUGCACAGACAAUUAGCAAAUCCAUUCCAAAUAAUCAAAUCCAUGGACAAGCACACAGCAAGAGCAAUACUGCAAAUACAUGGCUUCAUUUGUCAAUUUUGCUAUCAAUCCAUAAAUUUUCUGGUUCGUCUUCUCCAAAUCGACUUCAAAUAUGGAAAUUUCUAGAAAUUUACUCACUGCAUCUGCCAAUGAACAGUGUUGUGAGAUGUAAUGUUUACUUGAAGGAUGGUAAAUGCCAUGACUUGCUUUGCUGAGUGUUAGUGUCUGCUGCAAAUUUUUAAUUGGUUCAGGUUCAUAUCAAUUUUGACCUCUUUAGGCGAAGGUUCUCAGUUCAUUUUAAAGUAGCAUAUCUUUCAUUAGCUGCUACCUACUCCUGGUCAAAGGUGAUACAGUUUAAGCCUUUAUCUCAUCUUGUUUCUUUUGCAAGAUACUGUCAAGUGGAUUCUUAGUUUUGGAUAAUGGGGUCUUUGGAGUUAUGGAUGUCAUGUAAAUGUCACUCCAUAACUGUGAUUAAAUGGAGUUAUAUGGAUUUGAGGUAAUAAUUUGUAAAGGUUGCUAGCUUGACUUCUGACUCAAACCUUCUUAGUGAAUAUAGUUUGUUGUUUUCUACUAAUUUGCAGUUGCCAUUUCAUUUUGCAAUAUGUCUUACUUCUUUGCAAACAUUGUUUGUUGCUUGAUCUUUGAAACUUACUGGAAAUACUUAGACGAAUUUAAGGAUCUGAUUGCCCACAGUUUCUCUAGACACGGACUAUUACUCGUCAUUGUUCAGUUUCUCAAAGUCUAUCAAAGCUUUAGGAGUAUCAAAUUCCAGAACUGUGAGAUAUAGUUAGAGCUAGGACUGCACAUUAUCUCUUAAUUUGUAUAUUUAAUUAUUAGUUUCCACUGCCUUCAUGUUAAUAAUUUCCAAUAUAUUUCAAUCGUUUUACAUAUUACCAGGGAACCUAUACUUGUGAAAGUAACAACACCGUCUACAUUGAUGUUGCUUAGAUAGUCUAAUAGAUCAUCAAACUGACGUGCCAUAAAUUUUUGCACCUAUUUGCUCUAUUUCCUACUGUUAUGGUCUAUCUUGUUGUAAUUGGUGAUAUGCAACAUCAUUAAACUGAGAAUAUUAAUGGGUGUGAAGAUUUGAACCCAAGAUCUAAAAUUUACCACAAGAGCACAUACCUUGUAAAUUUAAAACAAAAAAGAGUCCAGGGGAUCACAUAUUUUUGUCUGUUUAUUAGUUUGUUUUAUCUGUCCAUGAAGCUGUGAAUAUGCUAUUUUAUGUUACUAUCUGGAAAACUUCCUAAUCAAUAUGCAUUCUCCAUUUCCCUUAUCUUUUCCUGUCUUUGUUCUAACUACCUGGGCAGCAUUGUUCUCAUCAGUUACCACAGAAAUCUGGUUUCUAAAUGAGGCACCGUAUCUUCAAGAGUUUUCAGAGUUGUGGUAGAAUUCGACAGUUUGCUGAUGAAAUAGUAAUUUCAGAUCUUGCUUUAUCUAAUUCAUCCUCUGCAAUAACUCUACUAGAUUCGACCUUCUUCCUUCUCCUUACCAAGCCUGAAGAUACUGGUUUCUGCCACUGUAAGACCAUUUUAGCAUUAUUUUUAGCUGCAUAACCUCCAGCAGAAAUACAUGCCAAUCGAAUGAGUUUAAUUCUUGCUCAAGAGAAAGGAUGGGGGCAUAUCAUUAUUUCUUCAGAUUGUAAAGUAGUAGUGGGUUUGAACCAAAUUGAACCUCAUGUUACGGAGCUUGCUAAUAUUAUUUAUGAUUGCAGGGAACUGAGGCAACACUUCUCAGAGAUUCACUUUCAGUUGGAGGGUAGGAAAAAGAACAAGCUAGUUGAUCAACUUGCUGGUAUUACACGCCAGGAAAGCAUGGAGAUGAACCAGAUCAUGCAACUUCGGGAACCUACAACUGAAUGUUUAAAAUUUUAUUAUGAGAACAUCCAUGAUUGUAGUAG
Spinacia oleracea (spinach) is the source of this 2283-nucleotide long non-coding RNA. RefSeq lists it as uncharacterized. The record is from RefSeq and is a predicted model, not a curated record. Lineage: Eukaryota; Viridiplantae; Streptophyta; Magnoliopsida; Caryophyllales; Amaranthaceae. The transcript is spliced from 2 exons.